UACGUAGGGUGCGAGCGUUAAUCGGAAUUACUGGGAGUAAAGCGUGCGCAGGCGGUUCGACAAGUCUGAUGUGAAAGCCCCGGGCUCAACCUGGGAAUGGCAUUGGAAACUGGCGAGCUAGAGUGUGGCAGAGGGGGGUGGAAUUCCGCGUGUAGCAGUGAAAUGCGUAGAGAUGCGGAGGAACACCGAUGGCGAAGGCAGCCCCCUGGGCUGACACUGACGCUCAGGCACGAAAGCGUGGGGAGCAAACAGG
RNAcentral lists this ribosomal RNA (253 nucleotides) under uncultured bacterium. RNAcentral describes it as "partial 16S ribosomal RNA". It matches the Rfam family "Bacterial small subunit ribosomal RNA", at positions 524 to 776 of the family's 1533-position model. The record is from RNAcentral.